GAUGAACGCUGGCGGCGUGCCUAAUACAUGCAAGUCGAGCGAACGGACGAGAAGCUUGCUUCUCUGAUGUUAGCGGCGGACGGGUGAGUAACACGUGGAUAACCUACCUAUAAGACUGGGAUAACUUCGGGAAACCGGAGCUAAUACCGGAUAAUAUUUUGAACCGCAUGGUUCAAAAGUAAAAGACGGUCUUGCUGUCACUUAUAGAUGGAUCCGCGCUGCAUUAGCUAGUUGGUAAGGUAACGGCUUACCAAGGCAACGAUGCAUAGCCGACCUGAGAGGGUGAUCGGCCACACUGGAACUGAGACACGGUCCAGACUCCUACGGGAGGAAGCAGUAGGGAAUCUUCCGCGAUGGGCGAAAGCCUGACGGAGCAACGCCGCGUGAGUGAUGAAGGUCUUCGGAUCGUAGAACUCUGUUAUUAGGGAAGAACAUAUGUGUAAGUAACUGUGCACAUCUUGACGGUACCUAAUCAGAAAGCCCCGGCUAACUACGUG
This 497-nucleotide ribosomal RNA is filed under the name uncultured bacterium. Its description in RNAcentral is "partial 16S ribosomal RNA". It matches the Rfam family "Bacterial small subunit ribosomal RNA", at positions 28 to 507 of the family's 1533-position model. The record is from RNAcentral.